Molecule: small RNA, 1327 nt
Filed under: Arabidopsis thaliana (thale cress)
Lineage: Eukaryota; Viridiplantae; Streptophyta; Magnoliopsida; Brassicales; Brassicaceae
Description: unknown gene (AT3G27884)
Source: RNAcentral
AGAGAAGUUUGAGAACCUUAAGUAUUAAUCUAUGAUUUGAACACGAAAAGACUUGUCUCUCAAACAAAACAAGAAAAUAUUUUCCUAUUUUGAAAAUUUUUGAGUGCUAAUCAUGGCGAUCUCUCACGUUCAUCUUUUUCUUCUCCUCAUCCUAUCACUCUUCUUAUUACCUACUUUGCGGGCCAUCGAUUAUUCUGACUGCGGUGAUGUAAGUUCUCCUGUUGAAGUCACUAGUGUGGAGGAGAUACUUAAGGAUAAGGACAAGGCAAGCUUUAAAAUAUCCGGUUCAACAAGUAAAAAUAUCACUGGAGGAGAUAUUUACGUGGAUGUUAAAGAGGCCUGAUUCGUUACUCUACUAGCAACUACGACUUAUGUGCAUGUAUGGCAUGCCCUGUUGCACCUGGUGCCUUCGUGCUUCCCCUAGACAAUCUUUUUCGUUCAUAUCCAAUGGUUAAUUUUCUUACAUUUAUUUUCUCGUAAUUGUUAAUAUUGCGUGAUAAAAGAUUAGGUACUGCAUAUGAAUUUUUGUUGCACGUAUAAUAAAUAUAAAUAAGAUAAAAUUAUUUUUAAAGGAAAAUAAAAUGAUGAGAACUAUUGGUCCAAUUGUUAAAAGACCCAUCAUAGGGUUAGAGGACUAGAGUUCGAAUCUUUCCACAGAAAAUGACAAGAAUAUUCGAUGUUCCACUUGCUCCAAAAUUGGUUUGGGGUUCGGUUCGAGAUCUCUCGGUCAUAAAAAAAAAACUAGGAAUGAUGUGUUCCACAAGGAAAAAACACAACAUCAAAUGUAUCUAUCACUUGUGUUCUUUUUGUUUUGGGUCAACCAAUUGUGCUUUCUAUCAUCAAAUUUCAACAGUUAGUUAGGUUUAUUCCACUUCCAUUGAAUAUAAUUUUGAAGAUCAAGCUCCUAGCCUGAGGCGGCGCAGUUGGAAAGCAUGUUACAACUACAAGAUUGGAGAUUGAAUUUCAACUAGGUGACAUUCAAGGUUCAAUUAAAUAUUUUUGACGACUCUAAAGAUGUGAAUGAAAUAAUGUGCCUCACUUUCAGGUACAAGACUAAACGUUCCUUCGCGGUCUCUGGUUAAUCAAGUUGCCGGAUGAAAAAAUGUUCUCAAGUAUGAUCUCUUUAUAUUGUAUGAUAAACUUGCAUUAUGUAUGUUUUUUUCUUCUUCCCUUUUGUGUGGUAACCAAGAAACAAAAUAAGUGUUUGUAUAUAGUUCUUUAAUUUCGUUUGAUUUCUUUCAACCGGUGAUAAUAAGGUAAAAAAUCUAGACGCUUUCCUAGUAUAAAGCUCCAAGUUGCUAUGAAUAUGACUCAGAAUUGACUGGGA